RNAcentral lists this ribosomal RNA (404 nucleotides) under Verrucomicrobiota bacterium. Its description in RNAcentral is "Verrucomicrobia bacterium partial 16S ribosomal RNA". It matches the Rfam family "Bacterial small subunit ribosomal RNA", at positions 355 to 776 of the family's 1533-position model. Lineage: Bacteria; Pseudomonadati; Verrucomicrobiota. The record is from RNAcentral.
UGGGGAAUAUUGCACAAUGGGGGAAACCCUGAUGCAGCGACGCCGCGUGAGCGAAGAAGGUUUUCGAAUCGUAAAGCUCUGUCCUAUGAGAAGAUAAUGACGGUAUCAUAGGAGGAAGCCCCGGCUAAAUACGUGCCAGCAGCCGCGGUAAUACGUAUGGGGCGAGCGUUGUCCGGAAUUAUUGGGCGUAAAGCGCGCGCAGGUGGUUUAGAAAGUCUGAUGUGAAAGCCCACGGCUCAACCGUGGAGGGUCAUUGGAAACUAAUAAACUUGAGUGCAGGAGAGAAAAGUGGAAUUCCUAGUGUAGCGAUGAAAUGCGUAGAGAUUAGGAGGAACACCGGUGGCGAAAGCGGCUUUUUGGCCUGCAACUGACACUGAGGCGCGAAAGCGUGGGGAGCAAACAGG